Molecule: ribosomal RNA, 2483 nt
Filed under: Streptomyces sp. SID9944
Lineage: Bacteria; Bacillati; Actinomycetota; Actinomycetes; Kitasatosporales; Streptomycetaceae
Description: partial 23S ribosomal RNA
Rfam family: Bacterial large subunit ribosomal RNA
Source: RNAcentral
UCUCGUGACUGCGUGCCUUUUGAAGAAUGAGCCUGCGAGUUUGCGGUGUGUUGCGAGGUUAACCCGUUGUGGGGUAGCCGUAGCGAAAGCGAGUCCGAAUAGGGCGGUUGAGUAGCACGCUCAAGACCCGAAGCGGAGUGAUCUAGCCAUGGGCAGGUUGAAGCGGAGGUAAGACUUCGUGGAGGACCGAACCCACCAGGGUUGAAAACCUGGGGGAUGACCUGUGGUUAGGGGUGAAAGGCCAAUCAAACUCCGUGAUAGCUGGUUCUCCCCGAAAUGCAUUUAGGUGCAGCGUCGUGUGUUUCUUGCCGGAGGUAGAGCACUGGAUAGGCGAUGGGCCCUACCGGGUUACUGACCUUAGCCAAACUCCGAAUGCCGGUAAGUGAGAGCGCGGCAGUGAGACUGUGGGGGAUAAGCUCCAUGGUCGAGAGGGAAACAGCCCAGAGCAUCGACUAAGGCCCCUAAGCGUACGCUAAGUGGGAAAGGAUGUGGAGUCGCAGAGACAACCAGGAGGUUGGCUUAGAAGCAGCCACCCUUGAAAGAGUGCGUAAUAGCUCACUGGUCUAGUGAUUCCGCGCCGACAAUGUAGCGGGGCUCAAGCGUACCGCCGAAGUCGUGUCAUUGCAGCAUAUACGCCCAACGGCGGCUGUGAUGGGUAGGGGAGCGUCGUCUGCCGGGUGAAGCAGCACCGGAAGGUAGUUGUGGACGGUUGACGAGUGAGAAUGCAGGCAUGAGUAGCGAUUCACACGUGAGAAACGUGUGCGCCGAUUGACUAAGGGUUCCUGGGUCAAGCUGAUCUGCCCAGGGUAAGUCGGGACCUAAGGCGAGGCCGACAGGCGUAGUCGAUGGAUAACCGGUUGAUAUUCCGGUACCCGCUGUGAAGCGUCAAACAUCGAGCAUCGUGAUGCUAAGGCCGUGAAGCCGCCCUUGAUCUCUUCGGAGUGAUGGGGAGUGGUGGAGCCGCUGAACCAAGCGGUUAGUAGGUGAGUGAUGGGGUGACGCAGGAAGGUAGUCCAUCCCGGGCGGUGGUUGUCCCGGGGUAAGGGUGUAGCCCGAGUGGUAGGCAAAUCCGCCACUCAUACAAGGGUGAGACCUGAUGCCGAGCCGAUUGUGGUGAAGUGGAUGAUCCUAUGCUGUCGAGAAAAGCCUCUAGCGAGUUUCAUGGCGGCCCGUACCCUAAACCGACUCAGGUGGUCAGGUAGAGAAUACCGAGGCGUUCGGGUGAACUAUGGUUAAGGAACUCGGCAAAAUGCCCCCGUAACUUCGGGAGAAGGGGGGCCACACCUGGUGAGGAUCUUUACGGUCUGAGCUGGGGGUGGCCGCAGAGACCAGCGAGAAGCGACUGUUUACUAAAAACACAGGUCCGUGCGAAGCCGUAAGGCGAUGUAUACGGACUGACGCCUGCCCGGUGCUGGAACGUUAAGGGGACCGGUUAGCUCCAUUUCGGUGGGGCGAAGCUGAGAACUUAAGCGCCAGUAAACGGCGGUGGUAACUAUAACCAUCCUAAGGUAGCGAAAUUCCUUGUCGGGUAAGUUCCGACCUGCACGAAUGGCGUAACGACUUCUCGACUGUCUCAACCAUAGGCCCGGUGAAAUUGCACUACGAGUAAAGAUGCUCGUUUCGCGCAGCAGGACGGAAAGACCCCGGGACCUUUACUACAGUUUGAUAUUGGUGUUCGGUUCGGCUUGUGUAGGAUAGCUGGGAGACUGUGAAGCAUGCACGCCAGUGUGUGUGGAGUCGUCGUUGAAAUACCAGUCUGGUCGUGCUGGAUGUCUAACCUGGGUCCGUGAUCCGGAUCAGGGACAGUGUCUGAUGGGUAGUUUAACUGGGGCGGUUGCCUCCUAAAGAGUAACGGAGGCGCCCAAAGGUUCCCUCAGCCUGGUUGGCAAUCAGGUGUUGAGUGUAAGUGCACAAGGGAGCUUGACUGUGAGACCGACGGGUCGAGCAGGGACGAAAGUCGGGACUAGUGAUCCGGCGGUGGCUUGUGGAAGCGCCGUCGCUCAACGGAUAAAAGGUACCCCGGGGAUAACAGGCUGAUCUUCCCCAAGAGUCCAUAUCGACGGGAUGGUUUGGCACCUCGAUGUCGGCUCGUCGCAUCCUGGGGCUGGAGUCGGUCCCAAGGGUUGGGCUGUUCGCCCAUUAAAGCGGUACGCGAGCUGGGUUUAGAACGUCGUGAGACAGUUCGGUCCCUAUCCGCUGUGCGCGUAGGAGUCUUGAGAAGGGCUGUCCCUAGUACGAGAGGACCGGGACGGACGAACCUCUGGUGUGCCAGUUGUUCUGCCAAGGGCAUGGCUGGUUGGCUACGUUCGGGAGGGAUAACCGCUGAAAGCAUCUAAGCGGGAAGCCUGCUUCGAGAUGAGGACUCCCACCCACUUGAUGGGGUAAGGCUCCCAGUAGACGACUGGGUUGAUAGGCCGGAUCUGGAAGCACGGUAACGUGUGGAGGUGACCGGUACUAAUAGGCCGAGGGCUUGUCCUCAGUUG